CAGUCGCCGCGGUAAUACGUAGGUGGCAAGCGUUGUCCGGAAUUAUUGGGCGUAAAGGGCUCGCAGGCGGUUUCUUAAGUCUGAUGUGAAAGCCCCCGGCUCAACCGGGGAGGGUCAUUGGAAACUGGGAAACUUGAGUGCAGAAGAGGAGAGUGGAAUUCCACGUGUAGCGGUGAAAUGCGUAGAGAUGUGGAGGAACACCAGUGGCGAAGGCGACUCUCUGGUCUGUAACUGACGCUGAGGAGCGAAAGCGUGGGGAGCGAACAGGAUUAGAGACCCCUGUAGUCCCUGUCUCUUAUAA
Molecule: ribosomal RNA, 301 nt
Filed under: uncultured bacterium
Lineage: Bacteria
Description: partial 16S ribosomal RNA
Rfam family: Bacterial small subunit ribosomal RNA
Source: RNAcentral